This is a long non-coding RNA of Alligator mississippiensis (American alligator), 2383 nucleotides long. RefSeq lists it as uncharacterized. Lineage: Eukaryota; Metazoa; Chordata; Crocodylia; Alligatoridae. The transcript has 3 exons. The record is from RefSeq and is a predicted model, not a curated record.
UCUUCUUCCCCAGCAUCGCUCAGGAGGGCACGGUACGUCCUCUGCACCCCAGGGGAUGGGCCCUGUGCCUGCCCUUCUGCAUGCCCAUCCCUGCCCCUUCCAUGCUCUGCAAGGCGUCAAAGUGCAUGGUGGAAGCCAAGCGGCUUCUUGGAGCCUGAUGGAUGGCCUUCUGCAGACGUGUGGCUCGUGUCUCUACCAUGUCCAUGGCAUCUGUACAUCCUCCGCGGACCUUUCUGACCCAGGGCUAAAGGGACCCUUGAAGCAAUCUUGUCCUGGCUGGGAACUCGUGCAAGGCUGGAGCAGAGCAGAAAUGCAGUGGCGAUGCCAAGAACCGCAGCGAACACCCUUCCUCCCCCCGGCCCUCCAGCCUGCGCGGCUCUGGCUGCACCGGUUCUCCAUCCAGCUGGCCGCGGGUCUCUGCUGCUGGCUGCCGCCCCGCUUUCCCCACGCGCCGCUUCCUUGGAAGGCGAACGCCUGCUGAGCUAAUGCUCUGCUUUGGGGGGGCCAGAUCCUGCAAAGACCUGAGCGCCUGCAGGAAGACGGGGUGCCAGCGCCCUGUUGCGAGGUGCUCAGCCCCUGGCAGGGCCAAGAGCAGGCAGCCUGUCCAGGGAGAGGCAUAUGUGAGGCCCCAGCCCCGCAAAGUGCUUUGGCACAAGCCGGCUCCUUCUGGUACUGCGUGGGAAAGUGGCCGAGCUAGCCUGGCGCCGCUGGGGUUUCGGCCGGAGAGCGGGAUCAUAGUGGGUCAGGAGCCCUAGGAUCCACCCUUGGCUCUGACACUCCCAGGCUGAGCAACCUCGAGCACACCCACCCCUCUUGCUCUGCUGCUGUUGUGUGCCUCAGUUUCCCCAUCUGAAAAAUGGGCGCAGUGACACCUCUCCCACCUGAGCUGGUGUUUGCAAACACUGGGAUCAAGGGCACCGUUCAAAUAAGUGGUCCACCAGCUUCUUCCUCACUUCAGCACUGACAAUACACUGUCUUUCUCGGCCUCCAUCUGUCCAAGCUACAGCCAGGGAGUCUACUUCUAAGCCCCACCCAGCCCUGAGACCCAUCCUCUCCUGAGCCCAUUCUUGAGAGGAAAAACUGAGGCACAGCAGAAGGCCACUUGCCCAAAGAGACACAGCUAGACGAUGGGCUGCUAGGUCAGCUCAGGAGAGCAGAUGGGGCUGAUAUAACCCCGGGCCAAACGCGCACCUUCCCUCCCCGCCAGCCCUGCUGGUGUCACGGGGCACAUGGGCAUGCACAUGCCCACACACGUGUGCACACGCUCGGGCACUGAGCUCAGAGGUGCUGAGGGAACCGCGAAGCAGAGCCCCACACAUCCUCACACCCUUGACUCCUGCAGCAUCCCAGCCCGGGGUCCCCCUCGGCCGGUGUCGGAGCAGGUCGUGUCUGGGGAGGGCCUUGGCUGGCUGGAAGUCUUUCCCUUCGGGGCUGGGAGCCUGUUGCACAUACUCCGGACCGAGGCACAGGCGGCAGGAUGGAGCUGAGCCCCUGCACGCUCAGAGAGACACUUGGGGCAUGAUCCCCUCCACCCCCAGGGCCUGCCUGGAGCACAGCAAGGGGCUGCAAUGAGGUCUGCAGGGAGGGGGUGCUUUAACCCUGGCUUUUUCCCCUCUCCCACCACAAACUCGGCUGGGGACAAGGCGCUGGGUUUGCAGUAGGUUCGCACCCUGGCGCUGAGUUGUCUCCUGUCUGCAACAAGACACCGGGGCUGCACCUGUGGGGAAUCCUGCAGCCACCUACCCCCUCCCCACGUCUCAUCCUCCCCUGCUAGACUCUGCAGGAGCCCUGCCAUGGAUGUCAGAGGCGCAGGGGCCUGCCCUUGCCUGCUCUCCACCCACUCCCUCCCCAGCUGGGGAAGCAGAAAUCUGGGCCACAGAUCCCAGCUGCGACCAAUUUCCAAGCCCAGCUGCUUUGCCCCCAGUGCACUGGCACACACUGUCUUUUUUUUCCAGCAUAUAAACUUUAUUCAGCUUUUUUUCCAUCCCUGCAAACAACACGGCAGCAUAGGGAAGGGAAGGGAAGGGAAGGGAAGGGGGGAGAACUGGCUUAAGCAGUUGAGAGCCAUUUAUUAUUAAUAAGCACACCAACCCCUGAGCAGAGCUGUGUGGGCUGGGCAUUGCAUCGUUCGGGCUGGGGUUCUCAUUUAUAUUACCGAGGCUUCAUUUCCUGGUGGAUAAAUCGGCUAUUUGCACUGCUCCAGCUAGGUGAAGUGGCCCUGUAGUGGGAGUUUGCAUAAUGGCUUCUUCUUAUAAUGUCAGGCUGCUUUAUAAUGGCUGUGUCGCAUGUGCAUGUGCAUGUGCGUGCAGGGAGGCUUACGUGAGCGAGUUUUUCCACCAACGGCACUUCCCAGUUCCUAUUAAACCAAAAUUUUGCUGGAUAA